CAGUCGCCGCGGUAAUACGUAGGGUGCGAGCGUUAAUCGGAAUUACUGGGCGUAAAGCGUGCGCAGGCGGUUCGUUAAGACAGAUGUGAAAUCCCCGGGCUUAACCUGGGAACUGCAUUUGUAACUGGCGAGCUAGAGUAUGGCAGAGGGGGGUAGAAUUCCACGUGUAGCAGUGAAAUGCGUAGAGAUGUGGAGGAAUACCGAUGGCGAAGGCAGCCCCCUGGGCCAAUACUGACGCUCAUGCACGAAAGCGUGGGGAGCAAACAGGAUUAGAUACCCCCGUAGUCCCUGUCUCUUAUAC
Molecule: ribosomal RNA, 301 nt
Filed under: uncultured bacterium
Lineage: Bacteria
Description: partial 16S ribosomal RNA
Rfam family: Bacterial small subunit ribosomal RNA
Source: RNAcentral